AACGAACGCUGGCGGCAUGCCUAACACAUGCAAGUCGAACGAAGUCUUCGGACUUAGUGGCGCACGGGUGCGUAACGCGUGGGAAUCUGCCCUUGGGUGCGGAAUAACUUCUCGAAAGGGAUGCUAAUACCGCAUAAUGUCGUAAGACCAAAGAUUUAUCGCCCAAGGAUGAGCCCGCGUAAGAUUAGCUAGUUGGUGGGUAAAAGCCUACCAAGGCGACGAUCUUUAGCUGGUCUGAGAGGAUGAUCAGCCACACUGGGACUGAGACACGGCCCAGACUCCUACGGGAGGCAGCAGUGGGGAAUAUUGGACAAUGGGCGAAAGCCUGAUCCAGCAAUGCCGCGUGAGUGAUGAAGGCCCUAGGGUUGUAAAGCUCUUUUACCAGGGAUGAUAAUGACAGUACCUGGAGAAUAAGCUCCGGCUAACUCCGUGCCAGCAGCCGCGGUAAU
This 449-nucleotide ribosomal RNA is filed under the name uncultured bacterium. Its description in RNAcentral is "bacterial SSU rRNA". It matches the Rfam family "Bacterial small subunit ribosomal RNA", at positions 29 to 524 of the family's 1533-position model. The record is from RNAcentral.